AAACGGAGAGAGGCCUAUCUGUCAGAGGAUGAUUUUCAGACUGUAUUUGGGAUGAGAAAAGAUGCAUUCUAUAAAUUGCCGAAAUGGAAGCAGGACGUGCAAAAGAAAAAAGUUGAUUUAUUUUAAUUAUCACAUCCAUCAAAAAGGAUUUCUCUGCUUUCUUAUGAACACUGCUUUAUUCGUUAUCAUCGUUGCUCCCUUGAAAAAUUGUGGUUUCCUCGGUCCACAUUGCCUGUCUUGCUGUGUCUAGCAUUUCAGUAUUUGCCUUUCGAUGAAUGUAGCUGUGAUUAGCAUCCUUAUUUGUUGUGAUUAUGCCUGAAGAGUGAGUUUUGCCCUUGUCUUCUUUUUGUUUUAAUCUUCUGCUGCCUGUUUGUAAUGAUACCCAGAUUGUAGUUUUUCCAGGCAGUUGGGAGGUCAUAUUCUUUCAUUUGGUCAGUAUUGUAUCUCAUUUUGUGAUUUAUUUUGACU
Molecule: unclassified non-coding RNA, 468 nt
Filed under: Hevea brasiliensis (rubber tree)
Lineage: Eukaryota; Viridiplantae; Streptophyta; Magnoliopsida; Malpighiales; Euphorbiaceae
Source: RNAcentral